CCGAGUGCGGGUCUUUAUGGCCCAACCUCCCACCCGUGACUAUUGUACCUUGUUGCUUCGGCGGGCCCGCCAGCGUUGCUGGCCGCCGGGGGGCGACUUGCCCCCGGGCCCGUGCCCGCCGGAGACCCCAACAUGAACCCUGUUCUGAAAGCUUGCAGUCUGAGUGUGAUUCUUUGCAAUCAGUUA
RNAcentral lists this unclassified non-coding RNA (186 nucleotides) under uncultured Aspergillus. RNAcentral describes it as "sequence contains ITS1". The record is from RNAcentral. Lineage: Eukaryota; Fungi; Ascomycota; Eurotiomycetes; Eurotiales; Aspergillaceae.